RNAcentral lists this ribosomal RNA (466 nucleotides) under uncultured bacterium. Its description in RNAcentral is "partial 16S ribosomal RNA". It matches the Rfam family "Bacterial small subunit ribosomal RNA", at positions 28 to 507 of the family's 1533-position model. The record is from RNAcentral.
GACGAACGCUGGCGGCGUGCUUAACACAUGCAAGUCGAACGGAAAGGCCCUGCUUGCAGGGUACUCGAGUGGCGAACGGGUGAGUAACACGUGGGUGAUCUGCCCUGCACUUCGGGAUAAGCUUGGGAAACUGGGUCUAAUACCGGAUAGGAGCCAUCUUUAGUGUGGUGGUUGGAAAGUUUUUUCGGUGUAGGAUGAGCUCGCGGCCUAUCAGCUUGUUGGUGGGGUAAUGGCCUACCAAGGCGGCGACGGGUAGCCGGCCUGAGAGGGUGUACGGCCACAUUGGGACUGAGAUACGGCCCAGACUCCUACGGGAGGCAGCAAUGGGGAAUAUUGCACAAUGGGCGCAGGCCUGAUGCAGCGACGCCGCGUGGGGGAUGAAGGCCUUCGGGUUGUAAACUCCUGUCGCUAGGGACGAAGCUUUGUUGUGACGGUACCUAGAGAAGAAGCACCGGCUAACUACGUG